Molecule: ribosomal RNA, 253 nt
Filed under: uncultured bacterium
Lineage: Bacteria
Description: partial 16S ribosomal RNA
Rfam family: Bacterial small subunit ribosomal RNA
Source: RNAcentral
UACGUAGGGACCAAGCGUUGUCCGGAAUCAUUGGGCGUAAAGGGUGCGUAGGCGGCGCGGUAAGUCGGGUGUGAAAUCUUGGAGCUUAACUCCGAAACUGCAUUCGAUACUGCCGUGCUUGAGGACUGGAGAGGAGACUGGAAUUUACGGUGUAGCGGUGAAAUGCGUAGAUAUCGUAAGGAAGACCAGUGGCGAAGGCGGGUCUCUGGACAGUUCCUGACGCUGAGGCACGAAGGCCAGGGGAGCAAACGGG